GUCAACAUCCUUAACGAAUGUAAUCACGUUCUAACCUGUUGAACGUUAUCUUAGAUAACCGUAAGCACGCUUUCGGCACCUGAGCAACUUUCAGAGGCCAGACGGAUGGCCCAAAGGGUAUUCGUUGCAAUCCUCAGUCUCAAUCACCACAUCUACCAGAGGCUAUAACACUUCAACCGAAAUCGAAGCUACAUUCCGCCGGUCAUUUUAUGAUAAUCGAAACUGACGUUGGCCUACCAUACGAAAAAGUACACCCAAAACGCACAAACAUGCAAACAGCGAGGCCGAAACUCACGCACGCCCUCAAGUUCGCACACGAUAAGUUGAUUUCUCGUCGGUACGACUGACUUCAAUCGUUUCCCUUUUAA
This 368-nucleotide ribosomal RNA is filed under the name uncultured Glomeromycotina. RNAcentral's name for it is "partial 28S ribosomal RNA". The record is from RNAcentral. Lineage: Eukaryota; Fungi; Glomeromycota.